AGUGAACGCUGGCGGUAGGCCUAACACAUGCAAGUCGAACGGCAGCACAGUAAGAGCUUGCUCUUACGGGUGGCGAGUGGCGGACGGGUGAGGAAUACAUCGGAAUCUACUUUUUCGUGGGGGAUAACGUAGGGAAACUUACGCUAAUACCGCAUACGACCUACGGGUGAAAGCAGGGGAUCUUCGGACCUUGCGCGAUUGAAUGAGCCGAUGUCGGAUUAGCUAGUUGGCGGGGUAAAGGCCCACCAAGGCGACGAUCCGUAGCUGGUCUGAGAGGAUGAUCAGCCACAUUGGAAGUGAGACACGGUCCAGACUCCUACGGUAGGCAGCAGUCGGGAAUAUUGGACAAAGGGCGCGAGCCUGAUCCAGCCAUACCGCGUGGGUGAAGAAGGCCUUCGGGUUGUAAAGCCCUUUUGUUGGGAAAGAAAAGCAGCAGGUUAAUACCCCGCUGUUCUGACGGUACCCAAAGAAUAAGCACCGGCUAACUUCGUG
Molecule: ribosomal RNA, 492 nt
Filed under: uncultured bacterium
Lineage: Bacteria
Description: partial 16S ribosomal RNA
Rfam family: Bacterial small subunit ribosomal RNA
Source: RNAcentral